Non-coding RNA from Dipodomys ordii (Ord's kangaroo rat), 70 nucleotides. NCBI's taxonomy places the organism in Eukaryota, Metazoa, Chordata, Mammalia, Rodentia, Heteromyidae. The record is from Rfam.
GGGAAGGUGGCUCAGUGGUAGAGCUCUUGCCUUGCAUGCAUGUAGUCCUGGGUUCGAUUCCUCCACACCA